CGGAGCUGAUCAAAUCCUGUGCGCAUCUCCGCUUGUCAGCCAACAUCGGGAGUUUGCGCAUCAAGGGCAAGUCCGUGCUAUCCCAAGCUCGAUCUGAUCCCUCAGCUCUGGGAGGUGGGCCUCAGUCUCUGCUGAUGGAAAAAUACAGUUUUUUGUCAUGGCAUCUUCUACGCUCAUGAGGAAAAAAUCUUACUAGAAAGGGAGGUGUACAGAAACUCAAACCUUAACCAAUCUGUAAAAAUGUAGUAACAAAUAAAGGAUGACAAAG
Hyla sarda is the source of this 268-nucleotide long non-coding RNA. RefSeq lists it as uncharacterized. The transcript has 3 exons. The record is from RefSeq and is a predicted model, not a curated record. NCBI's taxonomy places the organism in Eukaryota, Metazoa, Chordata, Amphibia, Anura, Hylidae.